GACGAACGCUGGCGGCGUGCUUAACACAUGCAAGUCGAACGGUGAAGGGGUCUGCUUUUGUGGGCCCUGGAUGAGUGGCGAACGGGUGAGUAACACGUGAGUAACCUGCCCCCUUCUUCUGGAUAACCGCAUGAAAGUGUGGCUAAUACGGGAUAUUCUGGGUCUGUCGCAUGAUGGGUCUGGGAAAGAUUGCGCCUUUGGGUGUUUUUGGUGGGGGAUGGGCUCGCGGCCUAUCAGCUUGUUGGUGGGGUGAUGGCCUACCAAGGCGGUGACGGGUAGCCGGCCUGAGAGGGUGGACGGUCACACUGGGACUGAGACACGGCCCAGACUCCUACGGGAGGCAGCAGUGGGGAAUAUUGCACAAUGGGCGCAAGCCUGAUGCAGCGACGCCGCGUGAGGGAUGGAGGCCUUCGGGGUGUAAACCUCUUUCGCCAGUGAAGCAGGCCUGCUCCUUGUGGGUGGGUUGACGGUAGCUGGAGAAGAAGCGCCGGCUAACUACGUG
Molecule: ribosomal RNA, 502 nt
Filed under: uncultured bacterium
Lineage: Bacteria
Description: partial 16S ribosomal RNA
Rfam family: Bacterial small subunit ribosomal RNA
Source: RNAcentral